Molecule: ribosomal RNA, 571 nt
Filed under: uncultured bacterium
Lineage: Bacteria
Description: partial 16S ribosomal RNA
Rfam family: Bacterial small subunit ribosomal RNA
Source: RNAcentral
UGGGGAAUUUUGGACAAUGGGCGAAAGCCUGAUCCAGCAAUGCCGCGUGUGUGAAGAAGGCCUUCGGGUUGUAAAGCACUUUUGUCCGGAAAGAAAUCCUUGGCUCUAAUACAGUCGGGGGAUGACGGUACCGGAAGAAUAAGCACCGGCUAACUACGUGCCAGCAGCCGCGGUAAUACGUAGGGUGCAAGCGUUAAUCGGAAUUACUGGGCGUAAAGCGUGCGCAGGCGGUUUGCUAAGACCGAUGUGAAAUCCCGGGCUCAACUGGGAACUGCAUUGGUGACUGGCAGGCUAGAGUAUGGCAGAGGGGGGUAGAAUUCCACGUGUAGCAGUGAAAUGCGUAGAGAUGUGGAGGAAUACCGAUGGCGAAGGCAGCCCCUGGGCCAAUACUGACGCUCAUGCACGAAAGCGUGGGGAGCAAACAGGAUUAGAUACCCUGGUAGUCCACGCCCUAAACGAUGUCAACUAGUUGUUGGGGAUUCAUUUCCUUAGUAACGUAGCUAACGCGUGAAGUGACCGCCUGGGGAGUACGUCGCAAGAUUAAACUCAAGGAAUUGACGGGUCAUAGCUG